UAACUUUUAUAGUACUUUUAUAAUCAUAGUGCUAGAAAAUACUCUUAUUGUUCAUCUUAAAUUACUUUGUGUGUAGCUUAGGAUAAAUGGAAUGAGUAGUUAUGCUGAAUCAUCUCCAGCAUGCUUGAGAAGCAGGAUCUGUGGUGUCAGUGACAUAUUGAAAAGAUUAAGUCAAAACCCUGUAGUCUUGAAUUUAGAAGGUCUGGUAUCUUUUAGUGGGGAACACUAUUUUUAGAUCAAAAUUGCUGCUAGGUUGGUUAUUUUUUCCAGGACUUUCAGUGUUUGGAGCUGGAAUAUAUGUCUCUUCUUGAUUAUACAAUGUAAGCCCCUUGGAUCUUAAAUGUCACUUUGAGAAGAAUAAAGGGAAGACAGUAGUCCCAAAUGGACUGAGUUUGAAGGUACUGAGAAAAUCCUGAAGUUGCUGAAGAACCUGGAAUUCAGUUUUCUGCCAUCCGUGGAAUGAGAGAGGCUUCUAGGACUGUCAAGGCUGAUACCAUCUGUGUCUGACAGAAGGAAUCUUCCGUGAUGAUCUGUCCUUCCGUGACAGAAGGAAUCUCCCUCUCUGAGGGAAUGUGAUGCUGUUAUAUUAGUCUUCUGGAGCUGCCAUAACAAAACACCUUCAACUGCGCAGCUUACACAACAGAAAUUCAUUGUCUUAUGAAUCUGGAGGCGAGAAGUUCAAGAUCAACGUUCUGUGGUUCAAAGCAUAGACCCCGCUAUCAGGAUGCCUGGACUCAAAUCCUAGCUGUGCUCCUUACUCUCUGGGUGACCACAGUUAAAAAACAGGAAACUAGCUGAAUGGAAGAUUUGACAAUAAAGUAU
This is a long non-coding RNA of Mustela erminea (ermine), 822 nucleotides long. RefSeq lists it as uncharacterized. The record is from RefSeq and is a predicted model, not a curated record. The transcript has 4 exons. NCBI's taxonomy places the organism in Eukaryota, Metazoa, Chordata, Mammalia, Carnivora, Mustelidae.